CAAGCGAAUGUGUGACCAGUUACACCUGGAGGGCUGCUGGAAGAGACUGAUAAAAUCAAAAAACAUGAGGGAAAAUAAAAAGAGUAAAAACCCCAAAUAAUUGUUCUUAAAUAGGAAAAAAAAAAGAGGGGAAAAAGUGAAAGUAAGAAAGUUCCCCACUAAAACAGGAUUUGGUGUCUCUUUCAAGCACGCUACGCUCGUGUGUAGCUGUAUUCGAUUACGACUUUCCUCACUCCUAACUUAUAUUA
Arabidopsis thaliana (thale cress) is the source of this 248-nucleotide long non-coding RNA. RefSeq annotates it as other RNA. NCBI's taxonomy places the organism in Eukaryota, Viridiplantae, Streptophyta, Magnoliopsida, Brassicales, Brassicaceae. The record is from RefSeq. The transcript has a single exon.